Bos taurus (domestic cattle) is the source of this 73-nucleotide non-coding RNA. The record is from Rfam. NCBI's taxonomy places the organism in Eukaryota, Metazoa, Chordata, Mammalia, Artiodactyla, Bovidae.
UCCCUCAUAGCUUAGUCGGUAAAGAAACUGCCUGGAGUGCAGGAGACCCUGGUUCAAUCUCUGGGUCAGGAAG